Long non-coding RNA from Gopherus evgoodei (Goodes thornscrub tortoise), 1757 nucleotides. RefSeq lists it as uncharacterized. The record is from RefSeq and is a predicted model, not a curated record. Lineage: Eukaryota; Metazoa; Chordata; Testudines; Testudinidae. The transcript has 4 exons.
UGCCAUGCACAUAAUUUGUUGGAGCUAAAUUCUCUGCUAGUGUAAACUUGCACAGUUCCACUGCCUGUCAUGGAGCUUCAGCAAUUCAUGCCUGCAAAGAAUUUGGCCCUUGGUCUUUAGUGUUUUACUAGCUUCCCUGACACUACUUAAAUAUGGUGCCUCGGUACAGCUCCUGUUGUCUCCAGAACUCUGCUACAGGCUGGCUGGGCAUUAGUACUUCAAGCACUAGCCCACAGGGUUCACUCUUUAUUACCUUAUCAAAUGAACAAAAUUUCCAUAAUAAGUCUUCCUGUACUGCAGAUAAAAUAGCAAACAAACAUUUGGGUGAGUUAAAAAAAAAAGCUGACUAAAUGCAGGAAGAUCCUUUUUUUUUAUUCUACCAAUAUUGCUUCCUUUGCUUAUUAGUAGCCCAAAGGAAAUGCUAGUUCAGAAGGAGCCAGGGGAGCAGUUAGCAGCUUCUUGCUAGAUCUUCAGUAUCUCUGCUGCACAGGCUAGAUGAUGCUGUAAGAAUGUGUGACUCAUACAGCUCAUCAUGAUUGAAAACUCCUCUGAUGCCAGUAGAAAUGUACUUAAAACCUUUCAUUUGCAGGGUAAAAAGAGAGUGGCGAUGACAUUUUUCUUCUGUACAUUAACCCUGUUUUCAAAUCAAAGGGGCCCCAAGCUGCAGUAGCAACAGGGUGCUUGCAAUGUAGCUGGUUGUGACAAGGCAGCUGACAAGCCUUCCGCAUUCCACAGCUUGAUUAUUAAUAUGAAUAACUAAUGACUCACGCUGCCACUACUGAGGCCGGGAAACUUUCUGUAACUGAAGAGUUAUAAAAUGUUAUUCUCCCACAGCACCAGCGCCAAAUCGAUGAGUGAUCUCUUUACAGUUUUGCAUUCAUUUCAAACAGAAUAUGCAUGUCCCUGCACACAUGGCUUGAAACAGUCAGAAGAUUGGUGUUUAGGGGAAAGAGUUCAGUUGUAUCAGGCUAUUUAGGGGGCUGUCUGCAAGAAUGCAGAGACAUUUCUCACACUAGUCCACUUGCUUACUAAUAUGAAUAACUAAUGAUUAAAGCAUCUGAUUUACCGAGGGCUGUGAGAUUAUUAGACCAGGCUUGUGAAACUUCUUUGUCACUGUCUGGAAAAGUCAGACUUCUCUGGAUGUUGCAGUUUAAUUUUUUUCCCCUCCUCAGAGGAUGUGGUAUGGCUUCAGCCAAUAAUUCAGAAUCGUCAGAGAGUGACACGGCAUCAAAAGCAACACUAAAUGUACUGAUCCUCUUCUUCGCCUGGGCUAUGUGAGUUGCAACUACCUUUAAGCAAGUUUCUGAGCUUUUCUUACUUGUUUCCAGUGAACAUGCUUCUUCCUUUACCCAGACUGACAAAGUAGCAAAAAUGAGACAGCAUCACGCUCUGCUGGCUCAGCUGCAAUUUGCAUGGUGCUGUCGGCCUAUUUCCUUGCUUGAUGCUUGAGUGUGACUGAUGAUACAAGUCUCAACACAGAGCUGGGAACAGCAUCAGAUCACCAAGUAAGAGAAGCUUCCACAAGGAGCCCUAGUAACUCAAUGCUAUAAAAUGCAGCAAUGAUUCCAGUCUUAAGGUUAUCUGGCAAUGUACAAAAGAAAGGAAGAUGCUGAAGAAUUUCUCACAAUGACAAUCCCUGCCCCAAGGAGUUUAUGAAAAUACUACUAUGGUCACUGCAUUCUAAUUAAGAUUGGUCUCUGCUAGAUUUUUUAAAUCUGGACUCUGGCUCUUCUAAAUAAAGUUCUGCAUAACAAUUA